CCUACGGGUGGCAGCAGUGAGGAAUAUUGGUCAAUGGACGAGAGUCUGAACCAGCCAAGUAGCGUGAAGGAUGACUGCCCUAUGGGUUGUAAACUUCUUUUAUAUGGGAAUAAAAUGUUCCACGUGUGGGAUUUUGUAUGUACCAUAUGAAUAAGGAUCGGCUAACUCCGUGCCAGCAGCCGCGGUAAUACGGAGGAUCCGAGGGUUAUCCGGAUUUAUUGGGUUUAAAGGGAGCGUAGGUGGAUUGUUAAGGCAGUUGUGAAAGUUUGCGGCUUAACCGUAAAAUUGCAGUUGAAACUGGCAGUCUUGAGUACAGUAGAGGUGGGCGGAAUUCGUGGUGUAGCGGUGAAAUGCUUAGAUAUCACGAAGAACUCCGAUUGCGAAGGCAGUUCACUGGACUGCAACUGACACUGAGGCUCGAAAGUGUGGGUAUCAAACAGGAUUAGAUACCCCAGUAGUC
RNAcentral lists this ribosomal RNA (460 nucleotides) under uncultured bacterium. Its description in RNAcentral is "partial 16S ribosomal RNA". It matches the Rfam family "Bacterial small subunit ribosomal RNA", at positions 338 to 795 of the family's 1533-position model. The record is from RNAcentral.